Molecule: ribosomal RNA, 431 nt
Filed under: uncultured bacterium
Lineage: Bacteria
Description: partial 16S ribosomal RNA
Rfam family: Bacterial small subunit ribosomal RNA
Source: RNAcentral
AACGAACGCUGGCGGCAGGCUUAACACAUGCAAGUCGAGCGCCCCGCAAGGGGAGCGGCAGACGGGUGAGUAACGCGUGGGAACGUACCUUUUGGUUCGGAACAACUCCGGGAAACUGGAGCUAAUACCGGAUAAGCCCUAACGGGGAAAGAUUUAUCGCCGAAAGAUCGGCCCGCGUCUGAUUAGCUAGUUGGUGAGGUAACGGCUCACCAAGGCGACGAUCAGUAGCUGGUCUGAGAGGAUGAUCAGCCACACUGGGACUGAGACACGGCCCAGACUCCUACGGGAAGCAGCAGUGGGGAAUAUUGGACAAUGGGCGCAAGCCUGAUCCAGCCAUGCCGGGUGAGUGAUGAAGGCCUUAGGGUUGUAAAGCUCUUUUGUACGGGAAGAUAAUGACUGUACCGGAAGAAUAAGCCCCGGCUAACUUCGUG